CAAUAGCGUAUAUUAAAGUUGUUGCGGUUAAAAAGCUCGUAGUUGGAUUUCUGCUGAGGACGACCGGUCCGCCCUCUGGGUGAGUAUCUGGCUCGACCUGGGCAUCCUUCCAGAGAAUGUGUCUGCUCUUGACUGAGUGGUGCAGUAUCUGGAACUUUUACUUUGAGGAAAUUAGAGUGUUUCAAGCAGGCAUACGCCUUGAAUACAUUAGCAUGGAAUAAUAAGAUAGGACCUCGGUUCUAUUUUGUUGGUUUCUAGAGCUGAGGUAAUGGUUAAUAGGGAUAGUUGGGGGCAUUCGUAUUUAACUGUCAGAGGUGAAAUUCUUAGAUUUGUUAAAGACGGACUACUGCGAAAGCAUUUGCCAAGGAUGUUUUCAUUGA
RNAcentral lists this ribosomal RNA (380 nucleotides) under uncultured eukaryote. Its description in RNAcentral is "partial 18S ribosomal RNA". It matches the Rfam family "Eukaryotic small subunit ribosomal RNA", at positions 592 to 976 of the family's 1831-position model. The record is from RNAcentral.